CCUACGGGAGGCAGCAGUAGGGAAUCUUCCACAAUGGACGAAAGCCUGAUGGAGCAACGCCGCGUGAGUGAAGAAGGGCUUCGGCUCGUAAAGCUCUGUUGGUAGUGAAGAAAGAGCGAGUGAGUAACUGGCCUUUAUUUGACGGUAAUUACUUAGAAAGUCACGGCUAACUACGUGCCAGCAGCCGCGGUAAUACGUAGGUGGCAAGCGUUGUCCGGAUUUAUUGGGCGUAAAGGGAGUGCAGGCGGUUUAAUAAGUCUGAUGUGAAAGCCUUCGGCUCAACCGGAGAAUUGCAUCAGAAACUGUGGGACUUGAGUGCAGAAGAGGAGAGUGGAACUCCAUGUGUAGCGGUGGAAUGCGUAGAUAUAUGGAAGAACACCAGUGGCGAAGGCGGCUCUCUGGUCUGUAACUGACGCUGAGGUUCGAAAGCAUGGGUAGCGAACAGGAUUAGAUACCCGGGUAGUC
Molecule: ribosomal RNA, 465 nt
Filed under: uncultured bacterium
Lineage: Bacteria
Description: partial 16S ribosomal RNA
Rfam family: Bacterial small subunit ribosomal RNA
Source: RNAcentral